Molecule: ribosomal RNA, 519 nt
Filed under: uncultured Bacillota bacterium
Lineage: Bacteria; Bacillati; Bacillota
Description: bacterial SSU rRNA
Rfam family: Bacterial small subunit ribosomal RNA
Source: RNAcentral
ACGGAGCAACGCCGCGUGAACGAAGAAGGCCUUCGGGUCGUAAAGUUCUGUUGUUAGGGAAGAACAAGUACCAGAGUAACUGCUGGUACCUUGACGGUACCUAACCAGAAAGCCACGGCUAACUACGUGCCAGCAGCCGCGGUAAUACGUAGGUGGCAAGCGUUGUCCGGAAUUAUUGGGCGUAAAGCGCGCGCAGGUGGUUCCUUAAGUCUGAUGUGAAAGCCCACGGCUCAACCGUGGAGGGUCAUUGGAAACUGGGGAACUUGAGUGCAGAAGAGGAAAGUGGAAUUCCAAGUGUAGCGGUGAAAUGCGUAGAGAUUUGGAGGAACACCAGUGGCGAAGGCGACUUUCUGGUCUGUAACUGACACUGAGGCGCGAAAGCGUGGGGAGCAAACAGGAUUAGAUACCCUGGUAGUCCACGCCGUAAACGAUGAGUGCUAAGUGUUAGAGGGUUUCCGCCCUUUAGUGCUGCAGCUAACGCAUUAAGCACUCCGCCUGGGGAGUACGGCCGCAAGGCUG